Molecule: transfer RNA, 84 nt
Filed under: Trametopsis cervina
Lineage: Eukaryota; Fungi; Basidiomycota; Agaricomycetes; Polyporales; Irpicaceae
Description: tRNA-Asp
Rfam family: tRNA
About the family: Transfer RNA (tRNA) molecules are approximately 80 nucleotides in length. Their secondary structure includes four short double-helical elements and three loops (D, anti-codon, and T loops).
Source: RNAcentral
UCCCUGGUAGUAUAUCGGUUAGUACACGCGCCUGUCAUCUGAUUUCAAACGCGCGAAAGCGGGGUUCGACUCCCCGCCAGGGAG